This is a long non-coding RNA of Manis pentadactyla (Chinese pangolin), 725 nucleotides long. RefSeq lists it as uncharacterized. Lineage: Eukaryota; Metazoa; Chordata; Mammalia; Pholidota; Manidae. The transcript is spliced from 2 exons. The record is from RefSeq and is a predicted model, not a curated record.
UGGGGAAAUGUUCUCCAGCAGAGGAAAGGCAAGAGCUGUCCUUUCGCCCACUGGCAGAGUGGGAAUCCCAAGAGGGAGGCAUUUCAUGGAGUCCAGCCUCUGCCUGAAGCCCGCCUGGUGCUUCCUUACCAGUCGUGAUGCCAGACUGCUGAGCGUUUCCCUGCAGAAUGGCUGCUCCCGCAGGCUAGAGACUGAGGCAGCCUGGGCAGGAAGGUGACCUCCGUUUUCCGAGUCUGUGCAAGGUGUUUGCCCAAGAGAAAGCGCCCAGGAUGACCUGCGCCAGCAUUCACAGCAGCCUCGUCCCAAGCAGGCAGAACCGGGAGCAGGCCAGGUGGCCUCAAGUGGGGAAACGGCUUAGCCAACAGCGGCAGACAUUCCCAGUGGGGCCGCACGGCUGUGCGGAGCGCGACCGACUGGGAGAGCAGCCCUUGAGUGGAUCAGGCAAAGCACAGAACUGCACACAGAGGGUGACAGAAUUGUCAUGGAUAAGGCAACACCUGUCUCCAGUGAUAGAUCAGCGGUCGCCUGGGGCUCGAGGAGGUGGGGAUCAAUGGGGAAGGCACAAGGGAACUUUCUGGGGUAGUGAUGGAAUGUUCUUGAACUUGAUCUGGGUGAUGGUUAUACACAGGCGUCUAAACCCACUCUACUUCCCACUUAAGACCUGUAUAUUUUAAUGCAUAUUAAUUAUACCUCAAUAAAAGAUAUCUUUAAGACGGGGUGUGCAA